Molecule: ribosomal RNA, 476 nt
Filed under: uncultured bacterium
Lineage: Bacteria
Description: bacterial SSU rRNA
Rfam family: Bacterial small subunit ribosomal RNA
Source: RNAcentral
GAUGAACGCUGGCGGCGUGCUUAACACAUGCAAGUCGAACGAAGAUGCCGGAGUGCUUGCACUUUGGCAGACUGAGUGGCGGACGGGUGAGUAACGCGUGGGUAACCUGCCUUAUACAGGGGGAUAACAGUUGGAAACGACUGCUAAUACCGCAUAAGCGCACGGUAUCGCAUGAUACAGUGUGAAAAACUCCGGUGGUAUAAGAUGGACCCGCGUCUGAUUAGCUUGUUGGUGAGGUAACGGCCCACCAAGGCGACGAUCAGUAGCCGGCCUGAGAGGGUGAACGGCCACAUUGGGACUGAGACACGGCCCAAACUCCUACGGGAGGCAGCAGUGGGGAAUAUUGCACAAUGGGGGAAACCCUGAUGCAGCGACGCCGCGUGAGUGAUGAAGUAUUUCGGUAUGUAAAACUCUAUCAGCAGGGAAGAUAAUGACGGUACCUGACUAAGAAGCACCGGCUAAAUACGUGCCAGCAG